UACGUAGGGGGCAAGCGUUGUCCGGAUUUAUUGGGCGUAAAGAGCGUGUAGGCGGCCAAGCAGGUCCGCUGUGAAAACUCGAGGCUCAACCUCGAGACGUCGGUGGAAACCGUUUGGCUAGAGUCCGGAAGAGGAGAGUGGAAUUCCCGGUGUAGCGGUGAAAUGCGCAGAUAUCGGGAAGAACACCCGUGGCGAAGGCGGUUCUCUGGGCCUGUUCUGACGCUGAGGAGCGAAAGCGUGGGGAGCGAACAGG
This 253-nucleotide ribosomal RNA is filed under the name uncultured bacterium. Its description in RNAcentral is "partial 16S ribosomal RNA". It matches the Rfam family "Bacterial small subunit ribosomal RNA", at positions 524 to 776 of the family's 1533-position model. The record is from RNAcentral.